CAUCGAUGAAGAACGUAGCGAAAUGCGAUACUUGGUGUGAAUUGCAGAAUCCCGUGAACCAUCGAGUUUUUGAACGCAAGUUGCGCCCGAGGCCAUUUGGCCGAGGGCACGCCUGCCUGGGCGUCAUGCCU
RNAcentral lists this ribosomal RNA (131 nucleotides) under Asparagus africanus. RNAcentral describes it as "5.8S ribosomal RNA". It matches the Rfam family "5.8S ribosomal RNA", at positions 31 to 154 of the family's 154-position model. From Rfam's summary of the family: 5.8S ribosomal RNA (5.8S rRNA) is a component of the large subunit of the eukaryotic ribosome. It is transcribed by RNA polymerase I as part of the 45S precursor that also contains 18S and 28S rRNA. Functionally, it is thought that 5.8S rRNA may be involved in ribosome translocation. Lineage: Eukaryota; Viridiplantae; Streptophyta; Magnoliopsida; Asparagales; Asparagaceae. The record is from RNAcentral.